UACGUAGGGUGCAAGCGUUGUCCGGAAUUAUUGGGCGUAAAGAGCUCGUAGGCGGUUUGUUGCGUCGGCUGUGAAAUCCCGAGGCUCAACCUCGGUCUGCAGUCGAUACGAGCAAACUAGAGUGUUGCAGGGGAGACUGGAAUUCCUGGUGUAGCGGUGAAAUGCGCAGAUAUCAGGAGGAACACCGGUGGCGAAGGCGGGGUCUCUGGGCAACAACUGACGUGAGGAGCGAAAGUGUGGGGAGCGAACAGG
Molecule: ribosomal RNA, 252 nt
Filed under: uncultured bacterium
Lineage: Bacteria
Description: partial 16S ribosomal RNA
Rfam family: Bacterial small subunit ribosomal RNA
Source: RNAcentral